UGUGUCCCUGCUUACUGAUACGUGUUUCAUUUGUUGGAUACAACUGGAUUGCACUCCCCGGAUGUGGCCAUUUCUUCUAGCUUCUGCUUCUUCUUCAUCACUCUCUGUUUCUUCUUCUUUUUCUUUUUCAGUUCCUUCCUUCGUUCUUCACAUAUGGUCAUUCUUAUGUUCUUGUUCUGUUGAGAACUUUGUGUUUUGUAUUUUUUAUAUUUGUAAAUUCCUUGUCGGAUGCAACUGAACGGCCAUCUCUAACUCUAGAAGUUUCUUCUCUAUCUUUAUCUUCAUUUUCCUUCAUACCUAUCCCUUAUGGUUUUCAUUGCAAAAGUUCUCCGUUUUGGUUGAAGUUUGUCUAUGGCGUCUACUGUAUUUUUUAAUUUUGGUAAAAAAAAAUUCCUUCACCUGUUUCUUGAUUUAUAGGGAUUUGGUGCGUAUUUGUUAAAUUUUCUUUAGGACUCUCUUGCUGGGAUCUAAAGAUGCAUGUAUGUUUGCUAGGUUUCGGAAUUAACAAAAGGCCUAUUUUUGGUCAGAAAAUUAAUUCCCUCAUCAUGUUCUUUUUCAUCUACUGAAAAUCAAUGUUUUGGUUUUCCCCUUUCUAAUUUGUAAUUUUUGUUGUUCAAAGGAUUGUACGCAUGCAGAUUUUCUCAUAAAAUUGCUAAUGGUUGACAGUAAUUUGUUGGACCUUUGAAAUAAUUUCCUUAUCAAGUGCUGACCAAAAAACCUUACUACUUCUCAAACAACAAUCUUCUGCCCCAGAACUUUAGUUGCCUAUUAGUGUUCCAAUAAAUUGAGCCGAAUCUGAGCCCUUUGCUAAAUCGCACUCUUUCAUAUGAAGAAUCUAAAAUUACCGCUUUUCAGUUCCUGUUCGGUUUUGACUCAAACAUUUCUGGAGAGAGUUGCAGACGAGCCCGUUGAUUCACUCCGCUGAGAAAAUGCAUUUACUAUGUCGGGCUUGGUGUAUUUGCUCUAGCAGCGGAAAUUCAUGGAUGGUAAGGACAUUUACCUUCCUCAUUUCAUCUGGCAUUUGUCCGUCCAUCCUGAAAAAGGAAUUUACUGCAAUCUUUUGGUUGUGAGAUGAUGAAUUAUCCUUUAUUGGUAGUAUCUAAUGUCACUUAACCAAGAUAGGAACAAGGUUACAGAAGUACAAUCUUGGAUUAUACCACGAAGAUCGUUGUGAACUUUUUGUUUGCACCUUAUUGCUAUUAUUUUUUGGCAGAUUCUAAAUGCAGAAGUGGGGUUAAGAAUGGUGAAAUAACAUGCAAAAAGAUGAUAGUUUGGGCAAGAUGCAUCUUGCUAGAGUGUGUACAGAUGGAAACUUAGUGGAGAUCAAUAUGGUAUUGGUGCUGUAGAAGGCAAGGAGUGCACCAAUGCUGGGGUAAGGACGGUUUGUAGCUUAUCUCACCACAAAAGUCAUGAGAGAAGCAGUGGAAAGCAUUCUCUAGAUUGAUUGAGCAUUACCUGGUUCGACUUGCAUCAACCGUUGAAACUAUUUAGUUUUUGUAAUCUACUUUGGAGUUUUUCCAUUUGUAAUCCGACUUCAAACUAUUUAGUUUUUGUAAUCCGUUGAAUGAUGGAAGCAUACUGUUAAAAUAUUAUGGUAUAGCCAGUUUUCACACUGGUCAAUGAAAAAUAGCCAGCGUUUAUCAA
Nicotiana attenuata is the source of this 1644-nucleotide long non-coding RNA. RefSeq lists it as uncharacterized. Lineage: Eukaryota; Viridiplantae; Streptophyta; Magnoliopsida; Solanales; Solanaceae. The record is from RefSeq and is a predicted model, not a curated record. The transcript has 5 exons.